UGGGGAAUUUUGGACAAUGGGCGAAAGCCUGAUCCAGCAAUGCCGCGUGUGUGAAGAAGGCCUUCGGGUUGUAAAGCACUUUUGUCCGGAAAGAAAUCCUUGGCUCUAAUACAGUCGGGGGAUGACGGUACCGGAAGAAUAAGCACCGGCUAACUACGUGCCAGCAGCCGCGGUAAUACGUAGGGUGCAAGCGUUAAUCGGAAUUACUGGGCGUAAAGCGUGCGCAGGCGGUUUGCUAAGACCGAUGUGAAAUCCCCGGGCUCAACCUGGGAACUGCAUUGGUGACUGGCAGGCUAGAGUAUGGCAGAGGGGGGUAGAAUUCCACGUGUAGCAGUGAAAUGCGUAGAGAUGUGGAGGAAUACCGAUGGCGAAGGCAGCCCCCUGGGCCAAUACUGACGCUCAUGCACGAAAGCGUGGGGAGCAAACAGGAUUAGAUACCCUGGUAGUCCACGCCCUAAACGAUGUCAACUAGUUGUUGGGGAUUCAUUUCCUUAGUAACGUAGCUAACGCGUGAAGUUGACCGCCUGGGGAGUACGGUCGCAAGAUUAAAACUUCAAAUGAAUUGACGGGGUCAUAGCUGUUUCCU
RNAcentral lists this ribosomal RNA (586 nucleotides) under uncultured bacterium. RNAcentral's name for it is "partial 16S ribosomal RNA". It matches the Rfam family "Bacterial small subunit ribosomal RNA", at positions 355 to 1375 of the family's 1533-position model. The record is from RNAcentral.